RNAcentral lists this ribosomal RNA (1453 nucleotides) under uncultured Ulvophyceae. Its description in RNAcentral is "bacterial SSU rRNA". It matches the Rfam family "Eukaryotic small subunit ribosomal RNA", at positions 610 to 1500 of the family's 1831-position model. Lineage: Eukaryota; Viridiplantae; Chlorophyta; Ulvophyceae. The record is from RNAcentral.
AGUUGUUGGAGUUAAAGCUCGUAGUUGGAUUUCGGGUGGGCUACGCCGGUCUCCUAACGGUUGUACUGGCGACGCCCGCCUUGCUGCCGGGGACGGGCUCCCGCCUUCAUUGUCGGGACCCGGAAUCGGCGACGUUACUUUGAGUAAAUUAGAGUGUUCAAAGCAAGCCUACGCUCUGAAUAUAAUAGCAUGGGAUAACACGACAGGACUCUGGCCUAUCGUGUUGGUCUGUAGGACCAGAGUAAUGAUUAAGAGGGACAGUCGGGGGCAUCCGUAUUCCGUUGUCAGAGGUGAAAUUCUUGGAUUUACGGAAGACGAACAUCUGCGAAAGCAUUUGCCAAGGAUGUUUUCAUUGAUCAAGAACGAAAGUUAGGGGCUUGAAGACGAUUAGAUACCGUCGUAAUCCUAACCAUAAACGAUGCCGACUAGGGAUUGGCGGAAGUUCUUUUGAUGACUCCGCCAGCACCUCAUGAGAAAUCAAAGUUUUUGGGUUCCGGGGGGAGUAUGGUCGCAAGGCUGAAACUUAAAGGAAUUGACGGAAGGGCACCACCAGGCGUAAACUAUAGCCGCCAUCAGAAACACAUUGUUUCAUAGGCUCUGCGCCAGUCGAGGUGUGAAUUUGCCCAUUCACUUGAAGCGCCUCGGCUAGUCACUGUGGCAUGAAGCGCAACUACAGUGGCGACAUCAUCGAAUUGCUGGAAACCCCUAAAGCUCUGCAUACCAAGCGCUCGUUGAAAGACAAGUGCGGCUNCCAUUCANGGAGAGGUGAUAAGUGCCGAGAUGAGACAAUGGGCAAUCAGCAGCGAAGCUCCCUUCUAUAAAGAUGGAGAACGUUCAGAGACUUAGCGGUGAUGGGCUCUUUGCAGCUUAAGAUAUAGUUCAAGCCCCAGCGAAAGCUGAUGCAGAGAUGAGAGGGAGCGCAACCCCAGAGCUCUGCAGUAGGGAUAUACAAGACAGCCUCUUGUUUAUCAUAAACAGGGAGCCUGCGGCUUAAUUUGACUCAACACGGGAAAACUUACCAGGUCCAGACAUGCGAAGGAUUGACAGAUUGAAAGCUCUCUUCUUGAUUGUAUGGGUGAACACCACUGCCCAAGACAGUGCGGCGAAAGCCUGCGCUAGUCAAACCCUGUCCGCUAUYGCAAGGGCAGGGCUAGGCAAGACCGUUGAAUUGCGGGAAACUCCUAAAGCUCACAACACCACGGCGCUYGGGCAACCAAGUGCUGGCCAGGGUAAUGACCUYGGAUGGUAAAAGCUUGUGAGAUGUACARUGGACGAUCCGCAGCCMAGCUUYCAWUUUGAACAAGUUCAAAAGGAAGAAGGUUCAGAGACUAGGUGGCGGUCGGCCUGCUAAGUGAGCAGGCUUAAGAUAUAGUCCGGCUCUACCGAAAGGUAGCCGCGGGAUGAAAGGUGCUAGCWWGCGCCCAGAGCCCGCGGGAGUAGAUACCACUAUGUC